AUAGCAUACGAAUAUCGCAUGAUAUUUUUAUUUAAAGAAUUUCGGUCAUCGAUGGGGAGUGCGUUCCAUUAGGUUGUUGGCGGGGUAACGGGCCCACCAAGCCUUCGAUGGAUAGGGGUUCUGAGAGGAAGGUCCCCCACCAUUGGAACUGAGACACGGUCCAAACUCCUACGGGAGGCAGCAUG
RNAcentral lists this ribosomal RNA (185 nucleotides) under uncultured bacterium. RNAcentral describes it as "partial 16S ribosomal RNA". It matches the Rfam family "Bacterial small subunit ribosomal RNA", at positions 173 to 353 of the family's 1533-position model. The record is from RNAcentral.